GACGAACGCUGGCGGCGUGCCUAACACAUGCAAGUCGAACGGGGUGAAGCCCUUCGGGACUUUACUUAGUGGCGAACGGGUGAGUAACGCGUGAGGAACCUGCCUUUCAGUGGGGGACAACAGUUGGAAACGACUGCUAAUACCGCAUAACACUUUUUGGGGACAUCCCUGAAAAGUCAAAGCUUUAUGUGCUGAAAGAUGGCCUCGCGUCUGAUUAGCUGGUUGGCGGGUAACGGCCCACCAAGGCGACGAUCAGUAGCCGGUCUGAGAGGAUGAACGGCCUCAUUGGGACUGAGAUACGGCCCAGACUCCUACGGGAGGCAGCAGUGGGGAAUAUUGGGCAAUGGGGGAAACCCUGACCCAGCAACGCCGCGUGAAGGAAGAAGGCCCUCGGGUUGUAAACUCUUUUACCUAGGGACGAAGGACGUGACGGUACCUGGAGAAAAAGACAACGGCUAACUACGUG
Molecule: ribosomal RNA, 466 nt
Filed under: uncultured bacterium
Lineage: Bacteria
Description: bacterial SSU rRNA
Rfam family: Bacterial small subunit ribosomal RNA
Source: RNAcentral